Molecule: ribosomal RNA, 426 nt
Filed under: uncultured bacterium
Lineage: Bacteria
Description: bacterial SSU rRNA
Rfam family: Bacterial small subunit ribosomal RNA
Source: RNAcentral
UUAAGAAUCUUGCACAAUGGGCGAAAGCCUGAUGCAGCGACGCCGCGUGGACGAUGAAGGCCUUCGGGUUGUAAAGUCCAGUAAGCAGGGAAGAAUAAGCAACGGGUAAUAUUCGUUGUGAUGACGGUACCUGCCUAAAGCCCCGGCUAACUACGUGCCAGCAGCCGCGGUAAUACGUAUGGGGCAAGCGUUGUUCGGAAUUAUUGGGCGUAAAGGGCGUCUAGGCGGGGAAUUAAGUUAGGUGUGAAAUCCAUGGGCUCAACCCGUGAACUGCACCUAAAACUGGUUCUCUUGAGUUCGGGAGAGGAGAGCGGAAUUCCAGGUGUAGCGGUGAAAUGCGUAGAUAUCUGGAAGAACACCAGUGGCGAAGGCGGCUCUCUGGCCUAGAACUGACGCUGAAGCGCGAAAGCGUGGGGAGCGAACAGG